CGGCGGACUGGUGAGUAACGCGUGGGUGACCUGCCUUGAGGCUGGGGAUAGCCGCUAGAAAUAGCGGGUAAUACCGAAUACGUUCGCCGGACUGUGGUCUGGCGAGGAAAGGGGCUCCGGCCCCGCCUUGAGAUGGGCCCGCGUCCUAUUAGGCAGUUGGCGGGGUAAGAGCCCACCAAACCGAAGAUAGGUAGCCGGCCUGAGAGGGUGAACGGCCACAUUGGGACUGAGAUACGGCCCAA
Molecule: ribosomal RNA, 242 nt
Filed under: uncultured bacterium
Lineage: Bacteria
Description: partial 16S ribosomal RNA
Rfam family: Bacterial small subunit ribosomal RNA
Source: RNAcentral